AGUUCCUGUUGCAAGUAAUGUCAGCAAAAAUCAACAAUUUCAUCCAUCUGCUUUGAGGGCAACUGUAAACCAACCUUCCACCGGAAGAGUUCCUGUUGCAAGUAAUGUCAGCAGAAAUCAACAAUUGCAUCCAUCUGCUUUGAUGACAACUGUGAACCAACCUUCAACCGGAAGAGUUCCUGUUGCAGGUAAUGUCAGCCAAAAUCAACAAAUGAAUCCAUCUGCUUUGAGGACAACUGUGAACCAACCUUCGACCGGAAGAGUUCCUGUUGCAAAUAAUGUCAGCCAAAAUCAACAAAUGCAUCCAUCUAUUAUGGCUGCAC
RNAcentral lists this long non-coding RNA (323 nucleotides) under Hordeum vulgare. RNAcentral's name for it is "long non-coding RNA (HVUL_LNC011157)". Lineage: Eukaryota; Viridiplantae; Streptophyta; Magnoliopsida; Poales; Poaceae. The record is from RNAcentral.